GAAGGCCUUCGGGUUGUAAAGCUCUUUUGCUAGGGAAGAAAACGUGUGGUCUAAUAUCCUGCGCGGAUGACGGUACCUUGACAAUAAGCACCGGCUAACUACGUGCCAGCAGCCGCGGUAAUACGUAGGGUGCGAGCGUUAAUCGGAAUUACUGGGCGUAAAGCGUGCGCAGGCGGUUGUGUAAGACAGGUGUGAAAUCCCCGGGCUCAACCUGGGAACUGCGCUUGAGACUGCACGGCUAGAGUACGGAAGAGGGGGGUGGAAUUCCUGGUGUAACAGUGAAAUGCGUAAAUAUCAGGAGGAACACCGAUGGCGAAGGCAGCCCCCUGGACCUGUACUGACGCUCAUGCACGAAAGCGUGGGGAGCAAACAGGAUUAGAUACCCUGGUAGUCCACGCCCUAAACGAUGUCAACUGGUUGUUCGUAGAGGUAACUCUGUGAGUAACGCAGCUAACGCGUGAAGUUGACCGCCUGGGGAGUACGGCCGCAAGGUUAAAACUCAAAUGAAUUGACGG
This 515-nucleotide ribosomal RNA is filed under the name uncultured bacterium. RNAcentral describes it as "bacterial SSU rRNA". It matches the Rfam family "Bacterial small subunit ribosomal RNA", at positions 410 to 916 of the family's 1533-position model. The record is from RNAcentral.